CUCGUGCUUAUCUUGUACCUCAAUUUCAGUAGUGACCCCUACCUCAUCCUUUGACUGGGGCUGCUACAUUGAGUGUUGUCUCAACAUCCUACACAACUCCUAAUCGAGUUCUCAUAAAUUUCUUUGGAUAGGACACCAUAGUUCUCCGUCUAGCCAAAGUCACUUCUCGUGCUCACCGUCUACCUUGGUGUCAGUUGCGAC
RNAcentral lists this long non-coding RNA (201 nucleotides) under Capsicum annuum. RNAcentral describes it as "long non-coding RNA (CANN_LNC008328)". The record is from RNAcentral. Lineage: Eukaryota; Viridiplantae; Streptophyta; Magnoliopsida; Solanales; Solanaceae.